Molecule: ribosomal RNA, 292 nt
Filed under: uncultured eukaryote
Lineage: Eukaryota
Description: partial 18S rRNA
Rfam family: Eukaryotic small subunit ribosomal RNA
Source: RNAcentral
AAUAGUUUCUUUGGUGGUGACCUACUACAUGGAUAACCGUAGUAAUUCUAGAGCUAAUACAUGCGUAAAUCUCGACUCACGAAGAGACGUAUUUAUUAGAUAAAGACCGACCUCGUUCUGCGGUGAAUCAUAAUAACUUCACGGACCGCAUGGCUUUAUGCCGGCGGUGUUCCAUUCAAAUUUCUGCCCUAUCAACUUUCGACGGUAGGAUAGAGGCCUACCGUGGUGUUCACGGGUGACGGAGAAUUAGGGUUCGAUUCACGGAGAGGGAGCCUGAGAAACGGCUACCACA